AAAACAUUCGGACCGUCGGUCUACCGAGCAAUAUCGCUUCCCGCUCAGUGGCAGAUCUUCCCUUUGUCGU
This 70-nucleotide microRNA precursor is filed under the name Bombyx mori (domestic silkworm). RNAcentral's name for it is "mir-2774 microRNA precursor family". It matches the Rfam family "mir-2774 microRNA precursor family". The record is from Rfam by way of RNAcentral. Lineage: Eukaryota; Metazoa; Arthropoda; Insecta; Lepidoptera; Bombycidae.